ACGGAAGGCAGCAGUGGGGAAUAUUGGACAAUGGGGGGAACCCUGAUCCAGCGACGCCGCGUGAGUGAAGAAGUAUUUCGGUAUGUAAAGCUCUAUCAGCAGGGAAGAUGAUGACGGUACCUGACUAAGAAGCACCGGCUAAAUACGUGCCAGCAGCCGCGGUAAUACGUAUGGUGCAAGCGUUAUCCGGAUUUACUGGGUGUAAAGGGAGCGUAGACGGCAUGGCAAGCCAGAUGUGAAAGGCAGGGGCUCAACUCCUGGACUGCAUUUGGAACUGUCAAGCUAGAGUAUCGGAGAGGUAAGUGGAAUUCCUAGUGUAGCGGUGAAAUGCGUAGAUAUUAGGAGGAACACCAGUGGCGAAGGCGGCUUGCUGGACGAUAACUGACGUUGAGGCUCGAAAGCGUGGGGAGCAAACAGGAUUAGAUACCCUGGUA
Molecule: ribosomal RNA, 434 nt
Filed under: uncultured Lachnospiraceae bacterium
Lineage: Bacteria; Bacillati; Bacillota; Clostridia; Lachnospirales; Lachnospiraceae
Description: partial 16S ribosomal RNA
Rfam family: Bacterial small subunit ribosomal RNA
Source: RNAcentral